GCGUGAGUGAUGAAGGCCCUAGGGUUGUAAAACUCUUUCAGUCGUGAAGAUAAUGACGGUAACGACAGAAGAAGCCCCGGCUAACUCCGUGCCAGCAGCCGCGGUAAUACGGAGGGGGCUAGCGUUGUUCGGAAUUACUGGGCGUAAAGCGCGCGUAGGCGGAUUGGUCAGUUGGGGGUGAAAUCCCGAGGCUUAACCUCGGAACUGCCUUCAAAACUGCCAGUCUUGAGUCCGGGAGAGGUGAGUGGAAUUCCUAGUGUAGAGGUGAAAUUCGU
This 275-nucleotide ribosomal RNA is filed under the name uncultured bacterium. RNAcentral's name for it is "partial 16S ribosomal RNA". It matches the Rfam family "Bacterial small subunit ribosomal RNA", at positions 399 to 691 of the family's 1533-position model. The record is from RNAcentral.